GGGCGUGACUCAGCAGCUAAGCACCAGAAACAUUAAGGGACAAGGGAAUUUAGAGUCGAUGUCUUGUGAUGCGGUGAAAAUAUCCCGAAUCUUGACCGGGAGGCCUGGGUUCAAUUCACAGCGAGUGCAGGAUGAGGCUGUCACUGGCUCGGCCAGCAUUUAUUGCUGCGUUUACCCAGAGGGCAGUUAAGAAUCAACCACGUUGCUAUAGGUCUGGAGUCCCAUGCAGACCAGACCAGAUCCCAGUGAUCAGUGCCAAAGCCCCAUUGCCUGUGGAGAGGGUGAUGUUUGAUUUCCCUGUCCAGCUGCAAUUCGUGUGGUGAAGGUGCUCCCACAAUGUGGUUGGGGAUCUGCACUGGAACCCUUCUGUUUGCAGGACAAAUAUAUAUUUGAUGAAGAUGUGUUGAAAAUGUUUGCAGUUACUGAUCUGCUGAACGAAAAUGACCACUUUUAAACUGAUGAUUGGACUAGAGACCUUUGAGAAAACUUGAAAAUAUUCAUUAAGUUCUCAACAAAAGAAAUUAACUAGUUCUGCUGGUUCUAAAUCCGUGGAAAAUAUUUGAGAAUGUUGUGGUCUUAAAGGUGAAAGGGCUAAGUGAUCGUAAGUGAUCAGGUUUUUUUGUUCAAAAGAGCUUGAUUCAAACAUUUCGAACCCAUACAUUGUCAUUCUGCAGUAUUUCAAACGUGUAAAACAAGUCGCUUUCUUCAUUUAUAAAAUAAAUAAA
Hemiscyllium ocellatum (epaulette shark) is the source of this 725-nucleotide long non-coding RNA. RefSeq lists it as uncharacterized. The record is from RefSeq and is a predicted model, not a curated record. NCBI's taxonomy places the organism in Eukaryota, Metazoa, Chordata, Chondrichthyes, Orectolobiformes, Hemiscylliidae. The transcript is spliced from 6 exons.